RNAcentral lists this ribosomal RNA (301 nucleotides) under uncultured bacterium. RNAcentral's name for it is "partial 16S ribosomal RNA". It matches the Rfam family "Bacterial small subunit ribosomal RNA", at positions 509 to 807 of the family's 1533-position model. The record is from RNAcentral.
CAGUCGCCGCGGUAAUACGGAGGGUGCAAGCGUUAAUCGGAAUUACUGGGCGUAAAGCGUGCGUAGGCGGUUCGUUAAGUCUGUUGUGAAAGCCCCGGGCUCAACCUGGGAAUGGCAAUGGAUACUGGCGAGCUAGAGUGUGUCAGAGGAUGGUGGAAUUCCCGGUGUAGCGGUGAAAUGCGUAGAGAUCGGGAGGAACAUCAAUGGCGAAGGCGGCCAUCUGGGACAACACCGACGCUGAGGCACGAAAGCGUGGGGAGCAAACAGGAUUAGAUACCCCCGUAGUCCCUGUCUCUUAUAC